AGACCUCUAAUCGGAA
This 16-nucleotide ribosomal RNA is filed under the name Chaetomitrium orthorrhynchum. Its description in RNAcentral is "partial 26S ribosomal RNA". Lineage: Eukaryota; Viridiplantae; Streptophyta; Bryopsida; Hypnales; Symphyodontaceae. The record is from RNAcentral.